GAUGAACGCUGGCGGCGUGCCUAACACAUGCAAGUCGAACGAACAGACGAGGAGCUUGCUGCUCUGACGUUAGCCGCGCACGGGUGAGUAACACGUGUAUACCCUACCUAUAAGUCUGGGAUAUCCUCGGGAAACCGGAGCUAAUCCCGUAUAAUAUAUUGCUCCGUAUGGUUCAAUAGUGAAAGUCGGUUUUGCUGUCACUUCUCGAUGGUUCCGCGCCGCAUGAGCUAGUUGGUAAGGUAACGGCUUACUAAGGCAACGAUGCGUAGCCGAACUGAGAGAGUGUUCGGCCACACUGGAGGUGAGCCAGCGACCAGACGCCUACGGGAGGCAGCAGACGGGAAUCUUACGCAAUGGGCGGAAGUUUGACGGAGCAACGCGGCGUGAGAGAUGAAGGUGCUCGGAUCGUAAAACUCGGCUAUUAGGGAAAAACAAAUGUGUAAGUAACCAAGCAGGUAGUGACGGUACCUAAUCAGAAAGCCCCGGCUAACUACGUG
RNAcentral lists this ribosomal RNA (497 nucleotides) under uncultured bacterium. RNAcentral's name for it is "partial 16S ribosomal RNA". It matches the Rfam family "Bacterial small subunit ribosomal RNA", at positions 28 to 507 of the family's 1533-position model. The record is from RNAcentral.